CAGCUCGCUAGCCCUGCUAACUCCACAAGAAGAUUGACAGCUGACCGCUCUGACCAAUAGAAGGGGGAGGUGAGGGGGGAUAAAGGGACAGCCCCGUCUGGUCCACAGCUGGACAACAGGCGCCCUGCCAGUUUGCUUUGACAUCACUGGAGAGGCACCACAGCACAGCAUUCCUACUCAAACAGCCACAACACAUUUUUAAAGCUACUUGUUAUCCCUCUGGUGGAAGAUGAGCCAACACUGAGAAAGAUGAUUGAUAUCUCUAUUAAGGAACAAUAAAGCAACGCUGGGUGCCCCCAGCAGCUCAGCUGCCACUCAGAGCACAAGGAUCGUCGGUAGUCUCACUGAUGGUUUCCACCAGGAUGUGCAGCAGGGUGACACUGCACGAGUCCCAUAACGGAGACUAUAGGAGUCCUACGAGAAUUGACCCACGAAGGAACUCAAUUCCCCCAGCACAGACUCUUACAGCAAAACAUCUCCUGGCAUACCUCCCCAGACCAUCCAAAGAAUCAAGAAUCAACACAACCUUAUAUCCAAAGGUUUCAGCAGAAGACAACGUGGCUGUGACAAUGCUUAACUCCAGAAGAGUCAACCCCAGCUCAAAUAACAAAGACUACAACAACUUCCCUGCUGUGCCACCCCAGCCCGCCCCCCCUGUGCCACCCCAUCCCGCCCCCGCUGUGCCACCCCAUACCGCACCCCCUGCCCCACCCCAGACGCGGCUCCAGAGCCCAGACCCCGGUCAGGUUGUUCCAGGAUUGGUCAGGCGGGAGGUGGACACCUGCCAGUACAUCAUUCCUACUGAGGAGUCAGAGGCAAUCUUUCCUCACCAUCCUUACCGUGGACGCCACUUCAAGCGUUUUAGCUCCAGGUGGCAUUCAGGCGCUCCCUUUGGUGGCCCCUUUGGUACCACCAGUAGCCAUAGCCACAGGACGACGGGUCAGAACAGGCCCCACAUGCCUCACUGCAAACUUAUCGGAGAUGAGAGGCCAAAUUAUGGCACCGCCAACAAGCAGCGCCAACGCUACGUCACCAAAGACGGGAAGUGUCGUGUGAACCUGGGCCCCAUCGAGGACAAGACCCGGUACCUGUCAGACAUCUUCACCACUCUGGUGGACCUAAAGUACCGCUGGUUCCUCUGUGUGUUUACCCUGUGCUACAUUGUCACGUGGGUGGCCUUUGCUGAGAUCUACUUCAUAGAUGCCUGGCUGCGGGACGACGUGGCCCACGUCCACGACCCAAAGUGGCGGCCAUGCUUUGAGAACGUGGACAGUUUCAUUUCUGCGCUGCUUCUGUCCGUGGAGAGCCAGAGGACCAUUGGCUAUGGCUCCAGGUUGGUGACGGCCAAUUGCAUGGAGGGAGUGGUUCUCCUCAUGGCCCAGUCAAUCAUCGGCUCCAUCAUUGACGCCCUCAUGGUGGGAUGCAUGUUCGUCAAAAUCUCCCGGCCUCAGAAAAGGGCCCAGACUCUGAUCUUCAGCAAGCACUGUGUCAUAUCAGAGCGUGACGAGAAACUCUGCCUCCUCUUCCGCAUUGGAGACUUGAGGGCGAGUCAUAUGGUGGACGCCAAGAUCCGAGCCAAGCUGAUCAAGUCCAGACAGACCAAGGAAGGGGAGUUCAUACCGCUGGAGCAGUCAGAGAUCAACCUGGGCUACGAUACUGGAGGAGACCGGCUCCUGUUGGUCGAGCCUCAGACUAUCACCCAUGUCAUCAACGAGACCAGUCCAUUCUGGGAAAUUGGGGCUGAGCGCCUGACAAGGGAGAGAUUUGAGAUCAUUAUCAUCCUAGAGGGGAUAGUGGAGGCAUCAGGUAUGACAUGCCAAGCCAGAACCUCCUACACUGAGGAUGAGAUUCUGUGGGGCCACCGAUUUGAAUCGUGCAUGUCCCUGGAAAAGGGGUCUUACUGUGUGGACCAUAGUGCAUUUGACAAAACCUUUCCUGUACAAACCUCCACCCUUAGUGCUAAAGAGAAGAGUAUUGAAAAAGAGGCGGCCCUCUUUUAGAUAAAAAGACGAUAAUAUUUACUAUGAAAUAAAUUAUUUUGUUGCAGCGAUCAAUAAUGAACUCAUGAUCUUAAAUAACAAAAUGUUUUGUCAAGAUCACAAUAUGACCUCUAUGAAUAGGAGUGGAUCUAUUCAUGAUAAAAGACAUGAUGGCUGAGGAAGCAGAAACCUUGGUGGCUCAGCGUGUGUUUUAUUUUGGUCAGAGACAUUUUGUAUUGGCCAUUUUAAUGUAGAAUAAUAAUUGUAGAAUAAUCAGUAAAAAUGUCCACAGUUGUGCCCUUGUGUAAGACACUUAAACCCCCAGCUGUUCCAGGAGCUCCACUGCAGCUGACACCUAUACUGCUUCCACUAUUUUGUGUAUUUGUGGUCCUAAGGGAGUUGUAAUAAAUGACAGGCUCAAAGG
Molecule: long non-coding RNA, 2403 nt
Organism: Esox lucius (northern pike)
Lineage: Eukaryota; Metazoa; Chordata; Actinopteri; Esociformes; Esocidae
Product: G protein-activated inward rectifier potassium channel 3
Exons: 4
Source: RefSeq, a predicted model, not a curated record